AGAUACCAGGGUCACAAGGUCUGACACCACGUGUACUCGCACACUAGUGGUAAAAUGACCUUGUGACCCGCCCCAAUAUGAGCAUAAAAGCGGGGCGUAAGCACUACGAUAUGCGAAUGUUGGGUAGGAUUGUGGGAGCACAUAGUGCGUAACAAUCCGUAGGUAUCA
This 168-nucleotide non-coding RNA is filed under the name [Ruminococcus] lactaris ATCC 29176. RNAcentral describes it as "Ruminococcus lactaris ATCC 29176 Clostridiales-1 RNA". It matches the Rfam family "Clostridiales-1 RNA". Lineage: Bacteria; Bacillati; Bacillota; Clostridia; Lachnospirales; Lachnospiraceae. The record is from Rfam by way of RNAcentral.